GAGGCCCGACAUUGUGCUGGGGAAGGAGCUCCAGAAAGGGCCAUCCUUUCUGUUUUGGUUAGAAUCACCUUGAGAGUUAAAAAUAACAAUAAUAUAGGCACCAUAAGAGAUUCUAAUGAUCUCCUUUUACUUUUUAGGUUCAGUAUCUGAACACUUUUGCUAAAGGUGUCUGGAAAGCUCCCUGUGUUAAUUCUCGAUGAGACUACGUCUGUGCCGGCCGCUUCCUGAGCCUCUUUCCAUGUGCAUAGGCCUGCUGCAUGCUGGAGACCCGCGGCACAGCUGCCAAGUGCCCCGUGUGGUUCUGUGAUCUUGGGACAGUCACUUCCUCUCUGUGGUUGUCAGUCUUCUCAUCCCUAAGAUGGAAUAAAAAGGCCUACCUCAUUGGGCUCGUGUGGGUGAGGAGAACUGAAGAGUCUGAGAGCGCGGCACGAGCCAGAGGCUACGGAAAACACUGCCCUCCUACACUCCACCUUGGAGAGACCCAGAAAAGAACAAGCUUCAUUUGUAAAAAAGGAAAACAGCUCAUGGGGGUGGCUUAAAGGCACUCUACAGUGUGCAGAUGCCUUCUACUUCUUCCAUCUGCCCUGUCUUUCCAAGAACCCCUAUGGCCCCAGGCUCAGAACAGAGCUGAGUGCAGAAAUGAAAAUCUAUGGCUCUGUGUUCCAAAAUGAUGAAGAAUUUCAAGAUGGUGGCAGUGGUAAAAUCCUUCUCCAGGAAAAAUCUGUCCUUGGCCCAAUGUGUAAACACUUGCUGAGGAACUUGGAAUAACUUGCAGUGUCUUGCAGUAUUGUGAAACCAGCAACUUGUUCACAAUUCUUCUGAAUUUCUUGGGAAAUUUGAAGUGGAGUACCUGUACCAACAUGAAAUGACACGAAUUUAAGUGAAGCUCAACAACGAAAAGCAAAAAGAACCAAAGAGGAAGCAACUGAAACAACAUCUGGAUGUAUUUAAAAAUAUACAAUGCCUCCAAAAUCAGGUGUCAUUAAUGAAAAUUCUGAAGAAAUGCCACCGGACAUAGCCAACACACCUACGCUAUUGUUAUUCAUUUCCUGCUUUUCACAGAAAACAAUUUUGUUGCAUGGAAGAUUGUGAACUUCAAAGAGCAGAGGGGAAACUCUCCCUUGGCCCCUACCCCUCCAAGGCCCCACUUUUUCGUCAACACUCCUUGGACGCAGCAGAAGUAUGAACAUAAUAUGGUCCUGAAUGAGGCUGAGUCUUUGGGCGCAGAAGACCCGGGUUAAUAAAAAUAGGAAGGUAAGAAAAGAAAAGAAAAAUCAAGACACAUCAUAGGACUAAAUUCCUAUUAUUUAUCCACUCAGGAUUGACCACCCUUUUGGGCCAGAUAGUUGUACCCCCAUGUACCAGGUGGGCACAUGAAGACACAAGAAGUGCUGUGAUGGUUCAUUUUGCAUGUCACCUUGCGUGGAGUAUGC
Molecule: long non-coding RNA, 1433 nt
Filed under: Pan troglodytes (chimpanzee)
Lineage: Eukaryota; Metazoa; Chordata; Mammalia; Primates; Hominidae
Description: lincRNA
Source: RNAcentral